Molecule: ribosomal RNA, 327 nt
Filed under: uncultured eukaryote
Lineage: Eukaryota
Description: partial 18S ribosomal RNA
Rfam family: Eukaryotic small subunit ribosomal RNA
Source: RNAcentral
CCCUUAGAUGUUCUGGGCCGCACGCGCGCUACACUGAUGCAUUCAACGAGCCUAUCCUUGACCGACAGGUCCGGGUAAUCUUUGAAUCUGCAUCGUGACGGGGAUAGAUUAUUGCAAUUAUUAAUCUUCAACGAGGAAUGCCUAGUAAACGCAAGUCAUCAGCUUGCAUUGAUUACGUCCCUGCCCUUUGUACACACCGCCCGUCGCUCCUACCGAUUGAAUGUUCCGAUGAAUACCAUGGACUGAGAGUAUGAAUGGGUUCGCCUAUUUCUGCUUCUCGGGAAGUGGAGUAAAUCUUAACAUUUAGAGGAAGGAGAAGUCGUAACA